RNAcentral lists this unclassified non-coding RNA (229 nucleotides) under uncultured fungus. RNAcentral's name for it is "sequence contains ITS1, 5.8S rRNA gene". The stretch from base 181 to 229 matches the Rfam family "5.8S ribosomal RNA", at positions 1 to 49 of the family's 154-position model. The record is from RNAcentral. Lineage: Eukaryota; Fungi.
UCUCCGUAGGUGAACCUGCGGAGGGAUCAUUACUGAGUGAGGGCUCACGCCCGACCUCCAACCCUUUGUGAACACAACUUGUUGCUUCGGGGGCGACCCUGCCGGCACUCUGUCGCCGGGCUCCCCCGAAGGUCUCCAAACACUGCAUCUUUGCGUCGGAGUUUAGAACAAAUCAAACAAAACUUACAACAACGGAUCUCUUGGUUCUGGCAUCGAUGAAGAACGCAGC